GAUUAGCUCAGGUGGUAGAGCACUUGACUUUUAAUCAAGUUGUCGAGGGUUCGAGUCCCUCAUC
This 64-nucleotide transfer RNA is filed under the name bovine gut metagenome. It matches the Rfam family "tRNA", at positions 5 to 66 of the family's 71-position model. Rfam says of the family: Transfer RNA (tRNA) molecules are approximately 80 nucleotides in length. Their secondary structure includes four short double-helical elements and three loops (D, anti-codon, and T loops). The record is from RNAcentral.